UGAAUUCAACAGGGCUAUGUUCAUUUUAUACCAGCGAAGGAGCUGGGUAAGGAGCAGUAUGUCUUUGGUGCUUUGGAGUAGGCAGGUGACCAUGUUGUGUUUCAGAGUCACAGUAUUGCUUCAGGAGAAAAUACCAUGCCCCAGAUCUACACCUGGAACAGAUUAUCCCAUCCUCCUCCUUGCUGCUCUGCUGUUCAGACCAGAGCAUUAGUGGGAAAAGCCCAGGUACUUUCACCCCCUGCUAGCUGCACCAGAGAAGGAGCAGUACCUCUGUGGAUAUCCCACUGAGGAAAGGAGGCAAUAUCUUAUUUCCUGCUGUAUCAUGCAUGGGAACAAAGGGUAUGUGAUAAUUCUGAUGCAUAUGACCCAUCCUAAUCAAAAGAAUCUGAUAUUGCUACCACUCCAAGGAAGAAAAUAGACUCUUCUGUAUUCUCCUCAGCUCAGCAAUCUGCAAGCACCUGAGAUAAGCAUUUCUCAUUCUGAAUAAAUGCGUUUGAAAAUCAAGGCUCUAACUAAAGUUGGCACUUCUGAUCCACCCACUGUGCUUCUCUGCUGUCUAUGUUGGAUCAACAGGGUAACUCCUGAUGUGAAGGAACGAGGGGACAUUGAUCUGACAAAAGCCUUUGGCAGAACACUUUAAACUGCCUGGACUUUCCUGACCUCAGAAUAGCUGUUUUUAUCCAGUAAAACUUUGAAAGCCAACUUGAACGCAAAAUUGAGGAAAAGAAAUCAUCCACAGACUGGUUUGUGAAUAAUGCCUAGAGCUGUCAUGGAGUGCAUGCACUCCAAAUCCCAUUGCUUAAAUUAAAGCCAGUUCUGACAAGCAGAAGCACAACAACAUUGC
Molecule: long non-coding RNA, 844 nt
Organism: Gavialis gangeticus (Gharial)
Lineage: Eukaryota; Metazoa; Chordata; Crocodylia; Gavialidae
Exons: 4
Source: RefSeq, a predicted model, not a curated record